UACGAAGGGGGCUAGCGUUGCUCGGAAUCACUGGGCGUAAAGGGUGCGUAGGCGGGUUUUUAAGUCAGGGGUGAAAUCCUGGAGCUCAACUCCAGAACUGCCUUUGAUACUGAAGAUCUCGAGUUCGGGAGAGGUGAGUGGAACUGCGAGUGUAGAGGUGAAAUUCGUAGAUAUUCGCAAGAACACCAGUGGCGAAGGCGGCUCACUGGCCCGAUACUGACGCUGAGGUGCGAAAGCGUGGGGAGCAAACAGG
This 253-nucleotide ribosomal RNA is filed under the name uncultured bacterium. RNAcentral's name for it is "partial 16S ribosomal RNA". It matches the Rfam family "Bacterial small subunit ribosomal RNA", at positions 524 to 776 of the family's 1533-position model. The record is from RNAcentral.